UAGGGAAUCUUCCACAAUGGGCGAAAGCCUGAUGGAGCAACGCCGCGUGUGUGAUGAAGGGUUUCGGCUCGUAAAACACUGUUGUAAGAGAAGAAUGACAUUGAGAGUAACUGUUCAAUGUGUGACGGUAUCUUACCAGAAAGGAACGGCUAAAUACGCGCCA
This 163-nucleotide ribosomal RNA is filed under the name uncultured bacterium. RNAcentral describes it as "partial 16S rRNA". It matches the Rfam family "Bacterial small subunit ribosomal RNA", at positions 355 to 510 of the family's 1533-position model. The record is from RNAcentral.